This 253-nucleotide ribosomal RNA is filed under the name uncultured bacterium. RNAcentral's name for it is "partial 16S ribosomal RNA". It matches the Rfam family "Bacterial small subunit ribosomal RNA", at positions 524 to 776 of the family's 1533-position model. The record is from RNAcentral.
UACGUAGGAGGCGAGCGUUGUCCGGAAUUACUGGGCGUAAAGGGCGCGUGGGCGGCUCGUUAAGUGUAAGGCUAAAUCUCUAGGCUCAACCUGGAAACUAUUUCGCAUACUGGCGAGCUGGAGUGAUGAAGAGGUUUGUGGAAUUCCUGGUGUAGCGGUGAAAUGCGUUGAUAUCAGGAGGAACACCCAUGGCGAAGGCAGCAAACUGGUCAUCAACUGACGCUGAGGCGCGAAAGCGUGGGUAGCAAACAGG